UACGGAGGGUGCAAGCGUUGCUCGGAAUUAUUGGGCGUAAAGGGGAGGUAGGCGGUCUCGUGUGUGUGAGGUGAAAGCCCAGGGCUUAACCCUGGAAGUGCCUCAUAAACUGCGAGACUGGAGUCCCGGAGAGGGUCGUGGAAUUCCCGGUGUAGCGGUGAAAUGCGUAGAGAUCGGGAGGAACACCAGAGGCGAAGGCGGCGACCUGGACGGGUACUGACGCUAAACUCCGAAAGCGUGGGGAG
This 245-nucleotide ribosomal RNA is filed under the name uncultured bacterium. Its description in RNAcentral is "partial 16S ribosomal RNA". It matches the Rfam family "Bacterial small subunit ribosomal RNA", at positions 524 to 768 of the family's 1533-position model. The record is from RNAcentral.